This 518-nucleotide ribosomal RNA is filed under the name uncultured Glomeraceae. RNAcentral's name for it is "SSU rRNA". It matches the Rfam family "Eukaryotic small subunit ribosomal RNA", at positions 569 to 1092 of the family's 1831-position model. The record is from RNAcentral. Lineage: Eukaryota; Fungi; Glomeromycota; Glomeromycetes; Glomerales; Glomeraceae.
AGCAGCCGCGGUAAUUCCAGCUCCAAUAGCGUAUAUUAAAGUUGUUGCAGUUAAAAAGCUCGUAGUUGAAUUUCGGGAUUAAUAUGUUGGUCGUGCCUUGGUACGUACUGGCAUUAUUGGUUCCUACCUUCUGAAGAACCUCGAUGUCAUUAAUUUGGUGUCUUGGGGAAUCAGGACUGUUACUUUGAAAAAAUUAGAGUGUUUAAAGCAGGCUCGCGCUUGAAUACAUUAGCAUGGAAUAAUGAAAUAGGACGUUUGAUUCUAUUUUGUUGGUUUCUAGGAUUGACGUAAUGAUUAAUAGGGAUAGUUGGGGGCAUUAGUAUUCAAUUGUCAGAGGUGAAAUUCUUGGAUUUAUUGAAGACUAACUACUGCGAAAGCAUUUGCCAAGGAUGUUUUCAUUAAUCAAGAACGAAAGUUGGGGGCUCGAAGACGAUCAGAUACCGUCCUAGUCUCAACCAUAAACGAUGCCGACCAGGGAUCGGCGGAUGUUGCUCUAAGGACUCCGCCAGCACCUUCUG